UACGGGGGGGGCAAGCGUUGUUCGGAAUUACUGGGCGUAAAGGGCUCGUAGGUGGCCAACUAAGUCAGACGUGAAAUCCCUCGGCUUAACCGGGGAACUGCGUCUGAUACUGGAUGGCUAGAGAUUGGGAGAGAGAUGCGGAAUUCCAGGUGUAGCGGUGAAAUGCGUAGAUAUCUGGAGGAACACCGGUGGCGAAGGCGGCAUCCUGGACCAACACUGACGCUGAGGAGCGAAAGCCAGGGGAGCAAACGGG
RNAcentral lists this ribosomal RNA (253 nucleotides) under uncultured bacterium. RNAcentral's name for it is "partial 16S ribosomal RNA". It matches the Rfam family "Bacterial small subunit ribosomal RNA", at positions 524 to 776 of the family's 1533-position model. The record is from RNAcentral.